UACAGAGGGUGCGAGCGUUAAUCGGAAUUACUGGGCGUAAAGGGUGCGUAGGUGGUUUGAUAAGUUAGGUGUGAAAGUCCUGGGCUUAACCUGGGGAUUGCGCCUAAUACUGUUGAGCUAGAGUACUGUAGAGGAAAGUGGAAUUUCCGGUGUAGCGGUGAAAUGCGUAGAUAUCGGAAGGAACAUCAGUGGCGAAGGCGACUUUCUGGACAGAUACUGACACUGAGGCACGAAAGCGUGGGGAGCAAACAGG
This 253-nucleotide ribosomal RNA is filed under the name uncultured bacterium. Its description in RNAcentral is "partial 16S ribosomal RNA". It matches the Rfam family "Bacterial small subunit ribosomal RNA", at positions 524 to 776 of the family's 1533-position model. The record is from RNAcentral.